RNAcentral lists this ribosomal RNA (460 nucleotides) under uncultured bacterium. RNAcentral's name for it is "partial 16S ribosomal RNA". It matches the Rfam family "Bacterial small subunit ribosomal RNA", at positions 338 to 795 of the family's 1533-position model. The record is from RNAcentral.
CCUACGGGUGGCAGCAGUGAGGAAUAUUGGUCAAUGGGCGCGAGCCUGAACCAGCCAAGUAGCGUGAAGGAUGACUGCCCUACGGGUUGUAACCUUCUUUUAUCAAGGAAUAAAGUGAGGCACGUGUGCCUUUUUGUUAGUACUUUAUGAAUAAGCAUCGGCUAACUCCGUACCAGCCGCCGCGGUAAUACGGAGGAUCCGAGCGUUAUCCGGAUUUAGUGGGUUUAAAGGGAGCGUAGAUGGGUUGUUAAGUCAGUUGUGAAAGUUUGCGGCUCAACCGUGAAAUUGCAAUUGAUACUGGCAGCCUUGAGUACAGUUGAGGUGGGCGGAAUUCGUGGUGUAGCGGUGGAAUGCUUAGAUAUCACGAAGAACUCCGAUUGCGAAGGCAGCUUACUAAGCUGCCACUGACAUUGAUGCUCGAAAGUGUGGGUAUCAAACAGGAUUAGAUACCCUAGUAGUC